Molecule: ribosomal RNA, 253 nt
Filed under: uncultured bacterium
Lineage: Bacteria
Description: partial 16S ribosomal RNA
Rfam family: Bacterial small subunit ribosomal RNA
Source: RNAcentral
UACGUAGGGACCGAGCGUUGUCCGGAAUCAUUGGGCGUAAAGAGCGUGUAGGCGGCUUGCUAAGUCUUGCGUGAAAUCUCGGGGCUCAACCCCGAGCGGUCGUGGGAAACUGGCAGGCUAGAGUGCGGGAGAGGAGAAUGGAAUUCCUGGUGUAGCGGUGAAAUGUGCAGAUAUCAGGAAGAACACCCGUGGCGAAGGCGGUUCUCUGGAACGCAACUGACGCUGAGACGCGAAAGCGUGGGGAGCAAACAGG